GAGGGGAGGGAGCUGCGCGGGCUCCGUCCCCUCACGGCGCGCGGCGGGAAUGGCGGGAGAGCAACGGGACCCGUCCCGCCUGAGGGGAGGCGGCUCCAGUGCCCGCCAUAGAAAGACUGAGGGGGUUUCCCCCUUUGCUCGCCUUUCUGGCCCCUCAGAGUUGGGCUCUGGGACGAAGGGCUCCGCUUCUCUGCCUAGUAUGCCCACAAGAAGCACAGGGAAGUGUCAGGCAGAGGGGGUUGUUGAAGGUGUUAAAUCAGGCAGGUGCUGUUUCAAUGAACAAGAAUGUCCAGGAAUUAAGGAAAUCUGUUUCAGUCUGAUUGGCAGAGCAAACAGAUGGAAAUGCAGUUGGAAAGAGAUGCACUUCAGGACAGCAGGUCGAAGGCCUUGAGAAGCAGUUGCAUGUAGCUCAUCUUGAGGCAGCAGAAGCUCAGACAGACCAGACACAACAUGGCCAGGAACCUGCAAACCCGAAUGACUGGAUUUAUCAGUUGUUGGAGGGAGAUGACUUGAAUUUCUCAUAGACUGAGCUCCAUAAAAAAGAGAGAACUAACCCUAGAAAAAGAGCAGAACAAGUGUUUUUGGGAUCAGAACACAGAGGGAACAGCAUCACCUUGGAGCAGCUCAGGAGGCAGCUGGACAACAGAAAGAUGGAAAAGGCACUGAAGGAAAUGAGGAUGGAGUGUCACAGACAAAUGGAGUGCCAGCUCUGGUGUUGAAGAUGUGCUAGAGAAAACCAGAAAGAUGCCAGGACAUUCAAAAGGUAGAAACAAACAAAUCUUUUGCUUGACCUGAACUGCAAUGGAGCAACAGAAGUGGAGAAAUCCCAGCUGGAAAAAGAAAUAAAUGAUUGGAAACUCAAAGCAGAAGAGUUUAAGAGUGCAAAGGAUGAGAAAGAAGCCAGAAUACGUGAAAUGGAGGCCAGGCUGAGCGAGUUGGAGCUGGAAAAAUCAGCUGGUUACUGAAUGACACAAAACUGGAAAAGGAUGAGCUCCUGCAGGAGCUCCAGGCUGGCCAAAGGGAGCUAUGUGGCCCUGCAGAGGCAUUUGAAGAGGAAUUAUCAGGGUGAAAUCAAGGAAAUGGAAAAUAGUGCACACAGACUGAAAAUGCAGAGCAGACCAGACUGCUCUGAAGACUAUGGAGGGAUUUGUUGGCAAUGCUCUGGAAGCUGCAGCGAGAGUGCAGAAGCAGAUUAGACAGAUGCACUGCAGAGCAAGAUUAAAUUCUUGGAAGAGGCAAUGGCAAACACAGCUAAGGAGAAGUAUUACCUCAGAGAAGAGUAAUUGUAUUGCUGAGGACCUGGAGAUCCUGAGAUCACAAGACAAACAGCUGAAAGAAAAACUAUCAAAAAUGGUGACAGCCCUUGAUAAGAAAGCAUCAACUCUAAUCUCUCAUAAAAAAAGAAUUCUUCAGCUAUUUUCUGAAUGGAUUUUGUGACCUGAUGUAUCUCCCAGAAACCUUCCAAGCUGGACGUUUUGAAGGAUCUAAAGAGGAUUCUUCAAGAAUUAACAAGUUCAGACAGUCACAUUCCCUCCAUGGAUCUGAGCAGCCAUGGUGGGAGAAAAUCCCCUUUAACAGCCAUGAGGAAUGCAGACUUCUCAGCCCAUGGAAACUAGUGAGCCCACACCAAAGAGGCUACAGAACAAGAUGGAAAGCCUGCAAAACCUGGUGGAAUCCAUUGCAGAUCAGAAAACAAGCCAUAUCUCCAAUGGUCAGAACUCAGGAGGUGCAGACAAAGAAACCCAAGGAAAAGGGGAGACAGCUCUCCAAGCAAAGGCACUGAAUGAAUUAGUGAUUGCUUUCAUGUAGGUACAUGGCAUUUAAAAUAAGUUAUGUUUUUAAAGACUAAUAAUAAAAGCCCUUAGAAUUUUUUAA
This is an RNA transcript of Parus major (Great Tit), 1875 nucleotides long. RefSeq lists it as uncharacterized. Lineage: Eukaryota; Metazoa; Chordata; Aves; Passeriformes; Paridae. The transcript is spliced from 14 exons. The record is from RefSeq and is a predicted model, not a curated record.